This 466-nucleotide ribosomal RNA is filed under the name uncultured bacterium. Its description in RNAcentral is "partial 16S ribosomal RNA". It matches the Rfam family "Bacterial small subunit ribosomal RNA", at positions 28 to 507 of the family's 1533-position model. The record is from RNAcentral.
GAUGAACGCUGGCGGCGUGCUUAACACAUGCAGGUCGAACGGAAAGGCUCCUGCUUGCAGGGGUACUCGAGUGGCGAACGGGUGAGUAACACGUGGGUGAUCUGCCCUGCACUUCGGGAUAAGCCUGGGAAACUGGGUCUAAUACCGGAUAGGACGAUGGUUUGGAUGCCAUUGUGGAAAGUUUUUUCGGUGUGGGAUGAGCUCGCGGCCUAUCAGCUUGUUGGUGGGGUAAUGGCCUACCAAGGCGUCGACGGGUAGCCGGCCUGAGAGGGUGUACGGCCACAUUGGGACUGAGAUACGGCCCAGACUCCUACGGGAGGCAGCAGUGGGGAAUAUUGCACAAUGGGCGCAAGCCUGAUGCAGCGACGCCGCGUGGGGGAUGACGGCCUUCGGGUUGUAAACUCCUUUCGCUAGGGACGAAGCGCAAGUGACGGUACCUGGAGAAGAAGCACCGGCUAACUACGUG